GACGAACGCUGGCGGCGUGCCUAAUACAUGCAAGUAGAACGCUGAAGGAGGAGCUUGCUUCUCUGGAUGAGUUGCGAACGGGUGAGUAACGCGUAGGUAACCUGCCUGGUAGCGGGGGAUAACUAUUGGUAACGAUAGCUAAUACCGCAUAAGAGUAGAUGUCGCAUGACAUUUGCUUAAAAGGUGCAAUUGCAUCACUACCAGAUGGACCUGCGUUGUAUUAGCUAGUUGGUGAGGUAACGGCUCACCAAGGCAACGAUACAUAGCCGACCUGAGAGGGUGAUCGGCCACACUGGGACUGAGACACGGCCCAGACUCCUACGGGAGGCAGCAGUAGGGAAUCUUCGGCAAUGGACGGAAGUCUGACCGAGCAACGCCGCGUGAGUGAAGAAGGUUUUCGGAUCGUAAAGCUCUGUUGUAAGAGAAGAACGAGUGUGAGAGUGGAAAGUUCACACUGUGACGGUAUCUUACCAGAAAGGGACGGCUAACUACGUG
This 495-nucleotide ribosomal RNA is filed under the name uncultured bacterium. Its description in RNAcentral is "partial 16S ribosomal RNA". It matches the Rfam family "Bacterial small subunit ribosomal RNA", at positions 28 to 507 of the family's 1533-position model. The record is from RNAcentral.